CAGGCAUACAGUAACGAGGUAGGUAGUUUCUGGGUAGAUCCAUUAUCUUUUACACUGAUGAGAAUGUGAACGAUGAUGGUAACCAACUCCUGUUUUCCAUGCCAGUUCUGCGCACAGCUCCCCUCGAAGUCCGCCAAUGAGGACGUGCACUAGCACUGCUUAUUCCAGCAUAUCAAGGCAUCCGGAGACCUGAACUCCAUGCUGUACUAUGCUGCUAAACAAGUAACCUCUCUCAGAAGCAGCAGGACUAGAACACAAAAGCAACCCCAUUGAGGAUAAUUGAAAAAAGCCUUCAGUUCCUGGAUGAAGUCACACUGGCUAGAGGGAGCACAGCACCGCUUCACAGUGAUCACGGACCACAAAAUCCUGCAGGACCUCCAAACCACCAGAGGCUGAAUUUCAGACCUCCUGGUCUCUCAGGGCAACAUGGUGGUCCUCAUUAUUGUCGAUCCCUUGUCGAAGAUGCUCCAGUUUGUUCCACUCCCGGCACUUCCCACUGCACUCAAAACAGAUGGAUUUCAAACAAACUUACAUUCAGUGAACCCAGACUCGGACUUCUAGAAACCUGCAAUAGAUUUCUGUUGCUUUUGUUCAUUAUUGCUUGUUUUCUUCCUGUUGUGAUACCCGGUGUUGACCAGAGGACGAUGGGCUUUCCUUCGAUUCUUGGUUCCUCUCAAGGUUUCUUCUUCAUGCUCUUUGGUAGUUUUUCCUUGUCAAUGUUGCCUUUGGCUCAGACACUGUAGGCUGCUUUGUGAGAAUACCUGUUGUAAAAAGUGCUAUAUAAAUAAAAUUGAC
Electrophorus electricus (electric eel) is the source of this 795-nucleotide non-coding RNA. Lineage: Eukaryota; Metazoa; Chordata; Actinopteri; Gymnotiformes; Gymnotidae. The record is from RefSeq and is a predicted model, not a curated record.